CACACUCAGACACCAACAGGUCAAACUGAUCAAACACACUCAGACACCAACAGGUCAAACUGAUCAAACACACUCAAACACCUACAGGUCAAACUGAUCAAACACUCUCAACACCUACAGGUCAAACUGAUCAAACA
Molecule: long non-coding RNA, 137 nt
Organism: Carassius gibelio (silver crucian carp)
Lineage: Eukaryota; Metazoa; Chordata; Actinopteri; Cypriniformes; Cyprinidae
Exons: 4
Source: RefSeq, a predicted model, not a curated record